RNAcentral lists this long non-coding RNA (339 nucleotides) under Struthio camelus australis. Its description in RNAcentral is "lncRNA (ENSSCUG00000005640.1)". The record is from RNAcentral. Lineage: Eukaryota; Metazoa; Chordata; Aves; Struthioniformes; Struthionidae.
ACUUGUUAGAUGGAACUUGUGUCUCAGGAUAACAUCUUAGUCUUUUACUGAUAUGUCUAACGUCACUUUUCUGUUUUGUCCUAGACAAGCUGACAUCAUCUCCCAAGAUUUCUUUCUAAACUUGUCUGUAAGAGUUGCAAAGACUCAGGGCUGAAGAUUGCUAGAUACAGGCGAGUACUGAAAGCAUCUUACAACCGCAUAUUUUCCAAAGAGCUCAAAACAAGACCAAAGGAAGCAAAACUCUGCUUAGAAUUCCCAGAAGCAGCCGCAUCAUCUUGGCACGGGAGAAGCAUCUUUGAACUUUCCGAUGGACAACAUUGCAGAGAUCCCCUGCUGCCC